Molecule: non-coding RNA, 30 nt
Filed under: Mus musculus (house mouse)
Lineage: Eukaryota; Metazoa; Chordata; Mammalia; Rodentia; Muridae
Source: RNAcentral
UGCUAAUUAUGGAGCUGAUAAAGAAUAUUU